This 431-nucleotide long non-coding RNA is filed under the name Nicotiana benthamiana. RNAcentral's name for it is "long non-coding RNA (NBEN_LNC028289)". Lineage: Eukaryota; Viridiplantae; Streptophyta; Magnoliopsida; Solanales; Solanaceae. The record is from RNAcentral.
UUACCAUCUUCAUUCCGUUAUAUUAAUAAUGGCGAGCAGUUCUCGUUCCGCUGCAGUUCCGGUGGCGGUAGAGGGUCCAUCUACGGUGGUGGGAGCCACUGAUUCGCCGACCUUUGAUCGGUUCCCAUUGGUUACCGACAUCCUUUCCCUUCCCGGCGGUCCGGCGAGCCGAUUUUACCGAGCCUGAGGGAGAAGAUCAAGUGGACGAGGCUCCAUUGAUGGGGGAGGUUGGCUUAGCUCAACUGAGGGAGCAAUGUGAGAUUCCUCGCUUUGCCGACAUCGUCUUGGCCAGGAGCUGCGAUAGGGUGCAUGUCGACCAACGAGGGUACUGCGUCUUCUAUGCCUACCCUUCUAGGCUGGGAUUUAGGCUUCCUCUCCCCUUGUUGGUGGUGGAUCUUUGCCGCUAUUACAGGGUAUGCCCUGGCCAGCUC